UAGGUUGAUGCUGUAGGCUGACCUCAGCACCGUGCAGGCCACGGGGCCCAUUGCCCAGUUGUUCUGCUCGUUGUAGAUGAUGAGCGGCAGAGCCAACACGAAGAUCAGGUCUGCCACGGCCACGUUGAAGAGGUAGACGUCCGUCAUGGUCUUGGCUCUCUUGUAGAACAUGUAGGUGGCGAUUACCAGGGUGUUGCCCAUCAGACCACAGGCACAGAUGAUGGAGUGGAUGUACGUCUCGGUGAGGACGUCCACAGGGUUGGGGUCCAGGUUGCAGGGCUCAAACAUUUCGAAAAAAGCCGGCGUUCUAGUUCAGCUCUACCUCUGGGUGUGAAUGACCUUAUUUCAAAAAGUGAAUGCACUGGAGGCAGUGGGUUUGCUUUGUGCUUUGUCUGAUCCCAGAAGCUGAUAAGAUCUGUAUCGUGAAGGAUCUGAGAUGUGUCUCUGAGCAUCAGUCAGUGUACAGAGGUCACUAAAAUGUAUCAGGUUCACAAGAGAGGUGCACAGAUCUUUGAUUUUUUUCUGACGAUUCUCACAGGAAAUUACCGUUUCUUUAAUUAAAACAUUUUAGUUUACUCGUGCUGUGUUCUCCAAUGUUGCCUAUACCCAAGUUUAAAUAAAGUAAAAACACAAAAAAAAUGUUUUUGAUGAAUCCUGCAUUUAAAGUUUGACUCCAUGUAAAAGUACCAGCAAUAAAAAUGUACCUAUAUAUUA
Gymnodraco acuticeps is the source of this 714-nucleotide long non-coding RNA. RefSeq lists it as uncharacterized. Lineage: Eukaryota; Metazoa; Chordata; Actinopteri; Perciformes; Bathydraconidae. The transcript has 2 exons. The record is from RefSeq and is a predicted model, not a curated record.